GAUAUAUUGUAUGUUUAAGGGGAAGUGUGGAGACCAUGGGCAGAUUUACUGUGGGGUUAGGGGGGCAUUAAACCCCCAAUAGAAUCUCUCUAACCCCUCUUAUAAAGUGUUCAACCCCACCAAAAUUUCGCUUCACUCCUCCUAUUUAGUGUGUAACCCUAACGCCUAACCCCUGUAAAAAGCUCGCUCAGUCAGUGCUGCUUGUAGCCCGUGUGCAGGCCCAAGGGAGCAGGCUCAAGGGAACUUGAUAGUGGUCCCUAGCUGCUCCCUUGGGCCUGCACGCGGGCUAUGCUGCUUGCAACCCACUAGAAAUUUUUCCACCCCUCCUUUAAAAAAAAUGAAAAUCUGCCCUUGGUAGAGACUAAAAGGAAGGGCUUGAAAUUUUCAGCACUAUCCAGUGGGAUACUAGAAACUUGAGAUCUGAUAGCCAUCCCAAAAACCUAGUAUCCAAACACUGAAACAAGGCAAACUGAGUUUUUAUAAAUUGUAAUGAAUUUUAUAAUAUACUGAAUCUAAGGUAUGGUAUAAAAGGAUCGUAACUGAUAGAGAAACAUCUGUGGAGGAGAGAAAUUUGUACCCAAUCGUUACUGAGUUUAUAGUCAUGUCCAAUAUCUAAAUUUAAAAUCAAAAUUUUGUAUUCCAUGGAUAUCAGGCUACUGUAAAUUUCAAGUUGUGAUAAUUAUUCAGAUAAAGAGUUUUCGAAAUUAUUUGGGACAAUUACAGUCACCAUCUCUGUCCAUGAUCUCACUCCCCAUCGUACCUGCCAGUGCGUCUAUUAACUUUGCACAUCACACCAUCUCGAGGCAUCAAAUUCAUCCAACCCACCAUUUGAUCAGUUUGAUUUGGGAGAAGCUUGAACUGAAACUUUUGAAACAGCCUUGCAAGGAAAACUUUGGACUCAAACUUUGAAAAUGUCUGUCCAAUGCAAUUAUGAGGACCAAUGGAAAAUGUAUCAUGCUCAAGUUUGGGAUGUUUCCAGCAUCUGCAAAUCUUUCUGGGUCAAAAACUUCGGGAUCUUUCCAGAUUUCUGGGUUCCUAGAAAAGAACAUGGACCUGCUAGCAACUCCGGUUCCUUUUGGUAUUUGAUAACCUCCAACGGUGAUCUCUUGUAAUACUUCUCUGGUAGGUGCUGGGGCAAUGGGACGUUUCCUUAGAUUCUCUUCCAUUACUUGGCCCAUGUAUUUUAGUUUUGCCAAAUCAUCAAAUUCAACUUCUUCUCGCUCACCGAGAACUUCUUUGAUUUCAUUCAAAAGCUUUGCUUCAACAUGGGGGUUUCUGAGAAUUUCAUAUAAUGUAAAUGCCAACGCAUUUGCUGUUGUUUCUUGGCCAGAAAUAAAUAUUGUUAAGAAUUCGUCAACGAUCUCCUCCUUUGUUAAACUACCAUCGUUAAUCAAAAGAUUUAGCAAAUCGUUGGGUACAUCCUUGUUUUCAGCAAUGUCCUGCAUUCGAGUGGUGAUGCAAUCUGAAGCAAAUUUUUGAAGAAAUCGUGCCGCAUUUAUUUGAACUCUCUGGGAAUCUGUUUGAAAUAGUUUAAAUUGAAAAAUCCCCAACAAUUGAGAGCUUAUGGGAAUUUGAAAGUUUGCUAGUACCCCAUCAAGGUAGUGGCGAAUUGCGGAGGGAAAUGGGGAAUCAGGGUCCUCGAUUGUGGUGGUAUUCAUAUCAAAUCCCACUUUGCUGAUGGUGUCGAGUGUGGCUUUUGCAAAUUCCUUAAUUAACCAUACUGACCGGUUUAGCACCAUCAGCUACCUCGCCCAUCCGAUUCAAAAGUCUAUCGGAAACAUUGUUAAAAUUUGUCAUGAAAUCUUUCAAGUAUUUCCGAUGAAAAGCUGGAUUCAUAAUGUGCCGUUUCUUAUGCCAGGAUAACUCAUCAGCAUUCGUGGCUAUGCCAUAUCCCAAAACCCUCUCCCCAAAUAUGAACCCAAAUUUACUAUAUUCGAAAGAGGGCCGAAUUAGGUAUUUAUGGUUGUUUAUAAAUACUUCCCUGACAUAGUCUGGGUGGCCAAGGUAUACUGUACAUCUGUGGAGAAAAGUAAUCAAAAAGAUGGGUCCAUAUUCCAGUCGUUUUUCCGUCAAAUAUUCGGUCAAAGUUUUUCCAGUCGCUUUCUCGUAUUUCCAGAAGUCAGGAAGGUUGCCAAAUAUGAAGCUUGAACGCGGUGGUCCUGGCAAAUGGGCGUUCCGUUUGUGCACAUAAUGCAAGUAUAGCAUAAAACACAGGAAUAAACAACCAAAAGCAAUCAAAAUUGUGCCAAUAAACCACAAAAAUAUUGAGGCUAAAACGCUAAAAUUCAUGAUUUCAAUCAAUUAAACGUGUAAAAUGAGAUUCAUGUAAGGAGGCUCUGCGGAGAAGAGAUUGGCCGGCCACAAAAC
RNAcentral lists this long non-coding RNA (2367 nucleotides) under Paramuricea clavata. Lineage: Eukaryota; Metazoa; Cnidaria; Anthozoa; Malacalcyonacea; Plexauridae. The record is from RNAcentral.